RNAcentral lists this ribosomal RNA (253 nucleotides) under uncultured bacterium. RNAcentral's name for it is "partial 16S ribosomal RNA". It matches the Rfam family "Bacterial small subunit ribosomal RNA", at positions 524 to 776 of the family's 1533-position model. The record is from RNAcentral.
UACGGGGGGGGCAAGCGUUGUUCGGAAUUACUGGGCGUAAAGCGCGUGUAGGCGGCCCUGCAAGUCGGGUGUGAAAUCCCACGGCUCAACCGUGGAAGUGCAUUCGAAACUGCAGGGCUAGAGUCCUGGAGAGGAAGGUGGAAUGCUUGGUGUAGAGGUGAAAUUCGUAGAUAUCAAGCGGAACACCGGUGGCGAAGGCGGCCUUCUGGACAGUGACUGACGCUGAGACGCGAAAGCGUGGGGAGCAAACAGG